RNAcentral lists this ribosomal RNA (630 nucleotides) under Enterococcus faecium. Its description in RNAcentral is "bacterial SSU rRNA". It matches the Rfam family "Bacterial small subunit ribosomal RNA", at positions 69 to 678 of the family's 1533-position model. Lineage: Bacteria; Bacillati; Bacillota; Bacilli; Lactobacillales; Enterococcaceae. The record is from RNAcentral.
UUCACCGGAGCUUGCUCCACCGGAAAAAGAGGAGUGGCGAACGGGUGAGUAACACGUGGGUAACCUGCCCAUCAGAAGGGGAUAACACUUGGAAACAGGUGCUAAUACCGUAUAACAAUCAAAACCGCAUGGUUUUGAUUUGAAAGGCGCUUUCGGGUGUCGCUGAUGGAUGGACCCGCGGUGCAUUAGCUAGUUGGUGAGGUAACGGCUCACCAAGGCCACGAUGCAUAGCCGACCUGAGAGGGUGAUCGGCCACAUUGGGACUGAGACACGGCCCAAACUCCUACGGGAGGCAGCAGUAGGGAAUCUUCGGCAAUGGACGAAAGUCUGACCGAGCAACGCCGCGUGAGUGAAGAAGGUUUUCGGAUCGUAAAACUCUGUUGUUAGAGAAGAACAAGGAUGAGAGUAACUGUUCAUCCCUUGACGGUAUCUAACCAGAAAGCCACGGCUAACUACGUGCCAGCAGCCGCGGUAAUACGUAGGUGGCAAGCGUUGUCCGGAUUUAUUGGGCGUAAAGCGAGCGCAGGCGGUUUCUUAAGUCUGAUGUGAAAGCCCCCGGCUCAACCGGGGAGGGUCAUUGGAAACUGGGAGACUUGAGUGCAGAAGAGGAGAGUGGAAUUCCAUGUGUAG